Pelodiscus sinensis (Chinese soft-shelled turtle) is the source of this 822-nucleotide non-coding RNA. NCBI's taxonomy places the organism in Eukaryota, Metazoa, Chordata, Testudines, Trionychidae. The record is from RefSeq and is a predicted model, not a curated record.
CUGCCUGCCAGGGAUAGGUAAGAGCUGCAGGGAUGAACACUCUGCACUUCAGGGGUGCUGCAAAAAGGUGAGUUCCAUGGGUCCUGUGCAGUGCUCAGGCACAGAAGUUGGAUUCCAGCAGCUCCAUCCCCACUGGGUGAGCAUUGCAGGGCUUGGCCAGGACCCAGCUCAGACAUUAAGAAUUAGGACAAUGUCCACAAACUCACAAAAGCACAUUAACUGUCUUUAUGGAAUGCUUCCAUUGGAAGUAUGCAGAACGAAAAUAGUUGAACUCACUUCUUCUGACAGCAGUGCAAUUUCUAGGCAGAGGUAAAAAUAGUAGGCAUGACACACAAAAUAGUCAUUGUGACAGUCUGCACAGAUAAUUCCUGCCUUCUUAUUGCUUGUUUUAUUAGCAGGAUACAAUGAAGAUAACAUCCUCGAGAAGGACUUUACGGUUGGAUAACAGCACACCAUGGGAGUCUUAGUUCCAUCAGUACAGGCAAUGGUGCAUACUGCCUGCUAUCUUACUCAAGAUAGGUCAGUUUCACAGAGAUGCUGCAGGGGGCUCCCUGCGCAUCAGAUCAGAUGGUCAGAAGGGCGUGGGAUUCUUGAUCCCUGGAGGUGCUAGGUGAGGUGAAGGCUGCACUAGCCAGCAGGGUGAUGAGGCCUCUUCCAAAAUCUCUUGAACCCUUUCAGAUGGAUUUGUUGCCUGAGGAGCCCAUGUCCACACUGCAUCCCCUCCUGCAUUGACUGUACCCAUUGUGCCAUGUGAAAUGAAAGAGGCAAACACUGAUCGUAAAGCUCUAGGGAAGGGAAUUCCUCAGGCAUUUCCAUUCGAAA